Molecule: long non-coding RNA, 284 nt
Organism: Solanum stenotomum
Lineage: Eukaryota; Viridiplantae; Streptophyta; Magnoliopsida; Solanales; Solanaceae
Exons: 3
Source: RefSeq, a predicted model, not a curated record
UCAAAUUUGUAACCCUAAUUUCUCUCCCUCUCCGCUGUUCUUUUUACUUCUCAUCAACUCUUCAAUGGUGAAGCCACCUGUUCUUUACUCUUUUGUGUUUGUCUACAUCUCUCUCAAGCUUUCGUGAAGGCUUCUGUUUAUCUCCGACGAACUGCACAGACUUUAAAUAUGUCGCUGAAGGUUUGCUGAGGAUUUCUGUUUCUCUCCUACGAGCUGCGCAGCGUCUAAAUUUCUCGCUGAAGGUUUCUUCAAUAUUUCGGUUUGUCUCGGAUGACCUGCGCAGG